This 561-nucleotide long non-coding RNA is filed under the name Zea mays. Its description in RNAcentral is "long non-coding RNA (ZMAY_LNC002396)". The record is from RNAcentral. Lineage: Eukaryota; Viridiplantae; Streptophyta; Magnoliopsida; Poales; Poaceae.
GGUUCAUGAGAAGUGGCAAAAUGCAAUACAUCAUGGGAAAAUGUACCUACAAGAAGAUCAAUGGGACGACGAUCUAGUGCUUCGAUGUCCUAUGCUUAGCUGAUGUACUCUUGCGUAUGGUUGAGAACAAUAAUCUGUAAUUCGAUUAUUAAUUCCCAGGAACAUCAGAAUAUUUGUAACAGGACAACAUCUUUUGCGACUAAUCAACAAGACAGUGAGGAAUCAACCAACAGUCAUACUUAUGUGGGACGCCUUGGCCUAAUUGCAGACACCUCAAAUGCAUUCUUGUGACAAUGGGACCACGAGGCAUAGAAAAGUACAUCAAAUUAAUCAUCCUUGUUUGCAUUAAUAAAAUUAACUACCAUUGCCAAGGUGAGCUCAUCUCCCUGAAAGGGUAGAAAUAUGUCAAAUUCAAAUUUUACAAAUAAAACUUAUAGAAAACCCUUAUGCUCAAAGCUUCGGUUGCUCUCUAUUGUAGUACAACCGAAAACAAAAGGAAAUAGUAAGGCACAUACCUUGCAAAAACCUCACAGAUUGCCACUUCUCAUGAUUGGAUUGAAC